Molecule: ribosomal RNA, 331 nt
Filed under: uncultured bacterium
Lineage: Bacteria
Description: partial 16S ribosomal RNA
Rfam family: Bacterial small subunit ribosomal RNA
Source: RNAcentral
CCUACGGGAGGCUGCAGUGAGGAAUAUUGGUCAAUGGACGCAAGUCUGAACCAGCCAUGCCGCGUGCAGGAAGACGGCUCUAUGAGUUGUAAACUGCUUUUGUACGAGGGUAAACGCAGAUACGCGUAUCUGUCUGAAAGUAUCGUACGAAUAAGGAUCGGCUAACUCCGUGCCAGCAGCCGCGGUAAUACGGAGGGUCCAAGCGUUAUCCGGAUUUAUUGGGUUUAAAGGGUGCGUAGGUGGUCGGGUAAGUUAGAGGUGAAACCCCGAGGCUGAACUUCGGAAUUGCAUCUGAAACUGUGCGGCUAGAGAGUAGUAGCGGUAGGCGGAA